CCGGCGCACGGGUGAGUAACACGUAUGCAACCUGCCCCCGGCAGGGGAAUAAACCGGAGAAAUCCGGUCUAAUUCCGCGUAACGUCCCUUCUCCGCAUGGAGGAGGGACCAAAGGAGGCAACUCCGGCCGGGGAUGGGCAUGCGGCGCAUUAGCUAGUCGGCGGGGUAACGGCCCACCGAGGCGACGAUGCGUAGGGGUUCUGAGAGGAAGGCCCCCACACUGGUACUGAGACACGGACCAG
Molecule: ribosomal RNA, 242 nt
Filed under: uncultured bacterium
Lineage: Bacteria
Description: partial 16S ribosomal RNA
Rfam family: Bacterial small subunit ribosomal RNA
Source: RNAcentral